GGUCCUACGGGGCGCAGCAGUGGGGAAUAUUGGGCAAUGGGCGCAAGCCUUACCCAGCAAUACCGCGUGAGUGAAGAAGGUCUUCGGAUUGUAAAGCUCUUUGAUCAGGGACGAACAGAUGACGGUACCUGAAGAACGAGCCCCGGCUAACUACGUGCCAGCAGCCGCGGUAAUACGUAGGGGGCAAGCGUUAUCCGGAUUUACUGGGUGUAAAGGGAGCGUAGACGGAAUUGCAAGUCUGAUGUGAAAAUCCGGGGCCCAACCCCGUAACUGCAUUGGAAACUGUAUUUCUAGAGUGUCGGAGA
This 305-nucleotide ribosomal RNA is filed under the name uncultured bacterium. RNAcentral's name for it is "bacterial SSU rRNA". It matches the Rfam family "Bacterial small subunit ribosomal RNA", at positions 335 to 655 of the family's 1533-position model. The record is from RNAcentral.